RNAcentral lists this ribosomal RNA (471 nucleotides) under Streptococcus mitis. RNAcentral's name for it is "bacterial SSU rRNA". It matches the Rfam family "Bacterial small subunit ribosomal RNA", at positions 28 to 483 of the family's 1533-position model. Lineage: Bacteria; Bacillati; Bacillota; Bacilli; Lactobacillales; Streptococcaceae. The record is from RNAcentral.
GACGAACGCUGGCGGCGUGCCUAAUACAUGCAAGUAGAACGCUGAAGGAGGAGCUUGCUUCUCCGGAUGAGUUGCGAACGGGUGAGUACGCGUAGGUAACCUGCCUGGUAGCGGGGGAUAACUAUUGGAAACGAUAGCUAAUACCGCAUAAGAGUAGAUGUUGCAUGACAUUUGCUUAAAAGGUGCAAUUGCAUCACUACCAGAUGGACCUGCGUUGUAUUAGCUAGUUGGUGGGGUAACGGCUCACCAAGGCGACGAUACAUAGCCGACCUGAGAGGGUGAUCGGCCACACUGGGACUGAGACACGGCCCAGACUCCUACGGGAGGCAGCAGUAGGGAAUCUUCGGCAAUGGACGGAAGUCUGACCGAGCAACGCCGCGUGAGUGAAGAAGGUUUUCGGAUCGUAAAGCUCUGUUGUAAGAGAAGAACGAGUGUGAGAGUGGAAAGUUCACACUGAUGACGGUAUCUUAC